GAUGAACGCUGGCGGCGUGCCUAAUACAUGCAAGUCGAGCGAACAGAUAAGGAGCUUGCUCCUUUGACGUUAGCGGCGGACGGGUGAGUAACACGUGGGUAACCUACCUAUAAGACUGGAAUAACUCCGGGAAACCGGGGCUAAUGCCGGAUAACAUUUAGAACCGCAUGGUUCUAAAGUGAAAGAUGGUUUUGCUAUCACUUAUAGAUGGACCCGCGCCGUAUUAGCUAGUUGGUAAGGUAACGGCUUACCAAGGCAACGAUACGUAGCCGACCUGAGAGGGUGAUCGGCCACACUGGAACUGAGACACGGCCCAGACUCCUACGGGAGGCAGCAGUAGGGAAUCUUCCGCAAUGGGCGAAAGCCUGACGGAGCAACGCCGCGUGAGUGAUGAAGGUCUUCGGAUCGUAAAACUCUGUUAUUAGGGAAGAACAAAUGUGUAAGUAACUGUGCACGUCUUGACGGUACCUAAUCAGAAAGCCGCGGCUAACUACGUG
This 497-nucleotide ribosomal RNA is filed under the name uncultured bacterium. RNAcentral's name for it is "partial 16S ribosomal RNA". It matches the Rfam family "Bacterial small subunit ribosomal RNA", at positions 28 to 507 of the family's 1533-position model. The record is from RNAcentral.